GUUGUAUGGUUAAGUGACUAAGCGUACACGGUGGAUGCCUUGGCAGUUGGAGGCGAUGAAGGACGUACUAACUUGCGAUAAGCCUAGUUGAGCCAGUAAGAGGCGCUUGAGACUAGGAUUUCCGAAUGGGGAAACCCGGCCCUUUGGGUCAUCAUGCAGUGAAUACAUAGCUGUAUGAAGCGAACGCGGAGAACUGAAACAUCUAAGUACCCGUAGGAAAAGAAAUCAACCGAGAUUCCGAAAGUAGCGGCGAGCGAAAUCGGAUUAGCCCUUAAGCUUUAAUGUAGUUAGUGGAACAUUCUGGAAAGUAUGACGAUACAGGGUGACAGUCCCGUACACGACAACUUAUUUAAAGUGAAAUCGAGUAGGUCGGAGCACGUGAAACUUUGACUGAAUAUGGGGGGACCAUCCUCCAAGGCUAAAUACUCCCAACUGACCGAUAGUGAACCAGUACCGUGAGGGAAAGGCGAAAAGAACCCCUGUGAGGGGAGUGAAAUAGAACCUGAAACCGUGUACGUACAAGCAGUAGGAGCCCUUCGAGGGUGACUGCGUACCUUUUGUAUAAUGGGUCAGCGACUUAUAUUCUGUAGCAAGGUUAACCAUUUAGGGGAGCCGUAGCGAAAGCGAGUCUUAACUGGGCGCUUAAGUUGCAGGGUAUAGACCCGAAACCCGGUGAUCUAGCCAUGGGCAGGUUGAAGGUCAGGUAACACUGACUGGAGGACCGAACCCACUAACGUUGAAAAGUUAGGGGAUGACCUGUGGCUAGGAGUGAAAGGCUAAUCAAACCGGGAGAUAGCUGGUUCUCCCCGAAAUCUAUUUAGGUAGAGCCUCGGACGAAUACUUACGGGGGUAGAGCACUGUUAAGGCUAGGGGGUCAUCCCGACUUACCAACCCUUUGCAAACUCCGAAUACCGUAAAGUACUAUCCGGGAGACACACGGUGGGUGCUAACGUCCAUCGUGGAGAGGGAAACAACCCAGACCGUCAGCUAAGGUCCCAAAGUGUAUGUUAAGUGGGAAACGAUGUGGGAAGGCUAAAACAGCUAGGAGGUUGGCUUAGAAGCAGCCAUCCUUUAAAGAAAGCGUAAUAGCUCACUAGUCGAGUCGGCCUGCGCGGAAGAUGUAACGGGGCUAAACAUACCACCGAAGCUACGGCUGCAUACUUUGUAUGCGGGGUAGGGGAGCGUUCUGUAAGCGGCUGAAGGUGAACUGUAAGGUUUGCUGGACGUAUCAGAAGUGCGAAUGCUGACAUGAGUAACGAUAAUGCGGGUGAAAAACCCGCACGCCGGAAGACCAAGGGUUCCUAUCCCAUGUUAAUCAGGGUAGGGUGAGUCGACCCCUAAGGCGAGGCUGAAGAGCGUAGUCGAUGGGAAACGGGUUAAUAUUCCCGUACUUGGUAUAAAUGCGAUGGGGGGACGGAGCAGGCUAGGCAAGCAUGGCGUUGGUUGUCCAUGUGAAAGGCUGUAGGCUGGUGACUUAGGAAAAUCCGGGUCGCUAAGGCUGAGAGUCGAGACGAGCCACUACGGUGGUGAAGUUGUUGAUGCCCUACUUCCAGGAAAAGCCUCUAAGCUUCAGUUUAUAUCGAAUCGUACCCUAAACCGACACAGGUGGUCAGGUAGAGAAUACUAAGGCGCUUGAGAGAACUCGGGUGAAGGAACUAGGCAAAAUUGUACCGUAACUUCGGGAGAAGGUACGCUCUUACUUGUGAAGACUUCGCGUCGUAAGCAGGCGAGAGCCGCAGUGACCAGGUGGCUGGGACUGUUUAUUAAAAACACAGCACUGUGCAAAAUCGUAAGAUGACGUAUACGGUGUGACACCUGCCCGGUGCCGGAAGGUUAAUUGAUGGGGUUAGCUUAGGCGAAGCUCUUGAUCGAAGCCCCGGUAAACGGCGGCCGUAACUAUAACGGUCCUAAGGUAGCGAAAUUCCUUGUCGGGUAAGUUCCGACCUGCACGAAUGGUGUAACCAUGGCCACGCUGUCUCCACCCGAGACUCAGUGAAAUUGAAAUCGCAGUGAAGAUGCUGUGUACCCGCGGCUAGACGGAAAGACCCCGUGAACCUUUACUACAGCUUGGCACUGAACAUUGACCCUACAUGUGUAGGAUAGGUGGGAGGCUUUGAAGCGCAGUCGCUAGAUUGCGUGGAGCCGUCCUUGAAAUACCACCCUUGUAGUGUUGAUGUUCUAACUUAGGCCCCUAAUCGGGGUUGAGGACAGUGCCUGGUGGGUAGUUUGACUGGGCGGUCUCCUCCCAAAGAGUAACGGAGGAGCACGAAGGUUGGCUAAGUACGGUCGGACAUCGUACGGUUAGUGUAAUGGUAGAAGCCAGCUUAACUGCGAGACAGACACGUCGAGCAGGUACGAAAGUAGGUCAUAGUGAUCCGGUGGUUCUGAAUGGAAGGGCCAUCGCUCAACGGAUAAAAGGUACUCCGGGGAUAACAGGCUGAUACCGCCAAGAGUUCAUAUCGACGGCGGUGUUUGGCACCUCGAUGUCGGCUCAUCACAUCCUGGGGCUGAAGUCGGUCCCAAGGGUAUGGCUGUUCGCCAUUUAAAGUGGUACGCGAGCUGGGUUUAGAACGUCGUGAGACAGUUCGGUCCCUAUCUGCCGUGGGCGUUUGAGAAUUGAGAGGGGCUGCUCCUAGUACGAGAGGACCGGAGUGGACGAACCGCUGGUGUUCGGGUUGUCAUGCCAAUGGCAUUGCCCGGUAGCUACGUUCGGAAUCGAUAACCGCUGAAAGCAUCUAAGCGGGAAGCGAGCCUCGAGAUGAGUUCUCACUUUAACUUUAAGUUAACUGAAGGGCCGUUGAAGACUACAACGUUGAUAGGCGAGAUGUGGAAGUGGUGUGAGCCAUUGAGCUAACUCGUACUAAUUACCCGUGAGGCUUAACCAUACAACGCCAAAGUGGUUU
RNAcentral lists this ribosomal RNA (2903 nucleotides) under Pseudoalteromonas rubra. RNAcentral describes it as "bacterial LSU rRNA". It matches the Rfam family "Bacterial large subunit ribosomal RNA". Lineage: Bacteria; Pseudomonadati; Pseudomonadota; Gammaproteobacteria; Alteromonadales; Pseudoalteromonadaceae. The record is from RNAcentral.